AAGAUUAAGCCAUGCAUGUCUAAGUAUAAGCAACUAUACUGUGAAACUGCGAAUGGCUCAUUAAAUCAGUUAUCGUUUAUUUGAUAGUGCCCUUUACUACUUGGAUAACCGUGGUAAUUCUAGAGCUAAUACAUGCAUCAAGCCUCGACUUUUGGAGAGGCGUAUUUAUUAGAUAAAAACCAAUGCCCUUCGGGGCUGCUUGGUGAAUCAUGAUAACGCAACGAAUCGCAU
RNAcentral lists this ribosomal RNA (231 nucleotides) under uncultured fungus. RNAcentral's name for it is "partial 18S ribosomal RNA". It matches the Rfam family "Eukaryotic small subunit ribosomal RNA", at positions 40 to 274 of the family's 1831-position model. Lineage: Eukaryota; Fungi. The record is from RNAcentral.